This is a small nuclear RNA of Mus caroli (Ryukyu mouse), 103 nucleotides long. The record is from RefSeq and is a predicted model, not a curated record. Lineage: Eukaryota; Metazoa; Chordata; Mammalia; Rodentia; Muridae.
GCUAGCUUUGGCAGCAUAUACUAAAAUUGGAACGAUACAGAGAAAUUUAGCAUGCCUCCUGUGCAUGGAUGAUAUGGAAAUUAAUGAAGUGUUCCAUAUUUUU